This 484-nucleotide ribosomal RNA is filed under the name uncultured bacterium. RNAcentral describes it as "bacterial SSU rRNA". It matches the Rfam family "Bacterial small subunit ribosomal RNA", at positions 501 to 986 of the family's 1533-position model. The record is from RNAcentral.
CUACGUGCCAGCAGCCGCGGUAAUACGGAGGGUGCGAGCGUUAAUCGGAAUAACUGGGCGUAAAGGGCACGCAGGCGGUUAUUUAAGUGAGGUGUGAAAGCCCCGGGCUUAACCUGGGAAUUGCAUUUCAGACUGGGUAACUAGAGUACUUUAGGGAGGGGUAGAAUUCCACGUGUAGCGGUGAAAUGCGUAGAGAUGUGGAGGAAUACCGAAGGCGAAGGCAGCCCCUUGGGAAUGUACUGACGCUCAUGUGCGAAAGCGUGGGGAGCAAACAGGAUUAGAUACCCUGGUAGUCCACGCUGUAAACGAUGUCGAUUUGGGGAUUGGGCUUUGAGCUUGGUGCCCGUAGCUAACGUGAUAAAUCGACCGCCUGGGGAGUACGGCCGCAAGGUUAAAACUCAAAUGAAUUGACGGGGGCCCGCACAAGCGGUGGAGCAUGUGGUUUAAUUCGAUGCAACGCGAAGAACCUUACCUACUCUUGACA